This 405-nucleotide ribosomal RNA is filed under the name uncultured bacterium. Its description in RNAcentral is "bacterial SSU rRNA". It matches the Rfam family "Bacterial small subunit ribosomal RNA", at positions 355 to 774 of the family's 1533-position model. The record is from RNAcentral.
UGGGGAAUAUUGGGCAAUGGGCGAAAGCCUGACCCAGCGACGCCGCGUGAGGGAAGAAGGUCUUCGGAUUGUAAACCUUUGUCAACAGGGACGAAGAAAGUGACGGUACCUGUGGAGGAAGCCACGGCUAACUACGUGCCAGCAGCCGCGGUAAUACGUAGGUGGCGAGCGUUAUCCGGAUUUACUGGGUGUAAAGGGUGAGUAGGCGGGAAGUCAAGUCAGAUGUGAAAUGCCGCGGCUUAACUGCGGAACUGCAUUUGAAACUGAUUUUCUUGAGAGUCGGAGAGGCAAUCGGAAUUCCUAGUGUAGCGGUGAAAUGCGUAGAUAUUAGGAGGAACACCAGUGGCGAAGGCGGAUUGCUGGACGACAACUGACGCUGAGACACGAAAGCGUGGGGAGCAAACA